This 432-nucleotide ribosomal RNA is filed under the name uncultured Aminicenantes bacterium. RNAcentral describes it as "bacterial SSU rRNA". It matches the Rfam family "Bacterial small subunit ribosomal RNA", at positions 338 to 774 of the family's 1533-position model. The record is from RNAcentral. Lineage: Bacteria; Candidatus Aminicenantota.
CCUACGGGAGGCAGCAGUGGGGAAUUUUGCGCAAUGGGGGAAACCCUGACGCAGCGACGCCGCGUGGAGGAUGAAGGCCUUCGGGUUGUAAACUCCUGUCAGAGGGGACGAAAUCCCGCAAGGGACUGACGGUACCCUCAGAGGAAGCCCCGGCUAACUACGUGCCAGCAGCCGCGGUAAUACGUAGGGGGCAAGCGUUACUCGGAAUUACUGGGCGUAAAGGGUGAGUAGGCGGCUGGGCAAGUCAAGGAUGAAAUCCCGAGGCUCAACUUCGGAACUGUCCUUGAAACUGCUCAGCUUGAGGGUAGUUGAGGAGAGCGGAAUUCCCGGUGGAGCGGUGAAAUGCGUAGAUAUCGGGAGGAACACCAGAGGCGAAAGGCGGCUCUCUAAGCUACUCCUGACGCUGAAUCACGAAAGCUAGGGGAGCAAACG